Molecule: small RNA, 27 nt
Filed under: Bombyx mori (domestic silkworm)
Lineage: Eukaryota; Metazoa; Arthropoda; Insecta; Lepidoptera; Bombycidae
Description: ovarian small RNA-10705
Source: RNAcentral
AAGUGGCUUAAUGAUAAAAGGAGCCCA